UGAGUCACCUGGAAUGUAACCUACCUGCAGGAGCAGGAGGGAGCACUGGGUCUCUUCAGUUCCCAAGGUGCAAAAAGUUACAGCAGGUGAAAAUGAGGCAAGGAUAAGAGUGGCAGCCAUGUGGUACUGGUGCUGCUGCCUGCUUUUGAGGCUCUGAGAGAGGCUGUGUAGUAUGUGGAGAAACUACUAAAUAUAGUCAUAGUUACAGGUACCUGUAGUGAAAUCUGCUAAUCAGAUGUAAUUAAUCAAAUCUGCUGUGGUUUUUAGUGGCCUUUUCUGUCUGUUGUCAGGAAGGUAAGUAGGAUUGCAUCUAGAUUAUUGAUGAGAUGUCUGAAUUUUGGCCACUUCUUCAGGUGGUAGCCCUGUUUUCUCCCUGUCACUUUACUCCAUGGAAAUAUAGACGUUGCUGAAGAAACUUGCUACUCAAGACAUCUUUCUGCUCCCAAUUAAGUCAAAGGGAAAACUUUCUCUGACUUUCAAGGGAGCAGGGUCUGGCCUUGCAGUGGAAUUCAAACAUAAAACAUUGUGCUUCCCUGACAGCUGUGUGCCUUCUGUGAGGGGAGGCCAAAACUCAGCAACAAAUACAGCUUGCUUUAGCUGCUUCAAAGUGAGAUAGCUGUGAGGGGAAAAUGUUUAUAAAUGCCAGUGCUGGCAAGGAGAGUGGGGAGACAUUGGUCUGUUGUUUUGAAGGAUGCACAGCUACUGUUUGCUGAGGAAUUCUGCUUUUUGUUCUUCGGCUUUGUGUUGAGGAAUUCUGCUUUUUGUUCUUGAGCUUCUGAUGUGUAUGCUAUAGGAAAAUGUAUGUAUCCAUAAGACUGGCCACAAAAUUGCUUUAUUUUUGACCCAGAGAAGUUGCAGAUCUUCUUUGUUGAAUGUUCUUAAUAAUUUUUUGGCACAUGGCUACUGUGUCAUAGGCCCUUUUUGUCUAAGAUUAAUGGAAACUCAGCUGAUUUUGUUUAUAGGAGACUUCAGAUAUCUCUACUGGAUUUUAUAGUGGAUAUGGUCACCAAACUGGUUUAAAGAUUGUUUUUUUACAUUAAGUUUUAUUUUUCAGGUUUUUUGAACACCUGAAGUGAUCAGUCCAGAUGUAUUUUCUUAUGAGCUAUCUGCGACUACAGAUUAUGGGGAAGUACCCAACUUGAGAUAUCUAUCAUGGAACACGUGUGUGUUCCCUCUUGUGUCCCACAUGAAAAAAAGAAAUCUUCUCAACACCUGUUUCCAAAACCUCUUUCCCAUGGAUAUUACUCCAUGACAAGGUUACACUGACCUAUCAUUUCAUGCAUCAGCAGUUCUUCUAUUGCACUGAUUUGAUCGAGCCUAGUGGAUAAAAGAGGAACAAUCCACCCAAUGGACCAAAUUAGAAUUAUAAUAAAAACUGCACCUUCUGAAGGACAAAGUAGGUUAAGUAUGGUACUUACUGCCCUUGGCAUAAUUUUUGUGAUGUGUCAAAUUUGAACCUUUUUUUUCACGUUUGUUCAACCUUUUACAUUCAGAUUUUGAAUUUUGAUUUUAUGUAGUUAUGUAAGUGAUGCUGCAGCUGCAGUUGAGGAAGAAGGUAGGGUUUUGUAGCUACUGGAAGCUUUUUUAGGUUAAGUACCUGUGAAAGUGCAAUAAAUCUUUUUGAUUUUGAA
Pezoporus flaviventris is the source of this 1631-nucleotide long non-coding RNA. RefSeq lists it as uncharacterized. The transcript has 3 exons. The record is from RefSeq and is a predicted model, not a curated record. Lineage: Eukaryota; Metazoa; Chordata; Aves; Psittaciformes; Psittacidae.